RNAcentral lists this transfer RNA (61 nucleotides) under Aacanthocnema dobsoni. RNAcentral's name for it is "tRNA-Arg". The record is from RNAcentral. Lineage: Eukaryota; Metazoa; Arthropoda; Insecta; Hemiptera; Triozidae.
AAGUAAAAAAGUAAAAUAUUACAUUUAGUUUCGACCUAAAAUUUUGAGUCCUCUCUGUACU